Molecule: unclassified non-coding RNA, 329 nt
Filed under: soil metagenome
Description: partial contains 5.8S ribosomal RNA, internal transcribed spacer 2, and large subunit ribosomal RNA
Rfam family: 5.8S ribosomal RNA (bases 1-120)
Source: RNAcentral
GAUGAAGAACGCAGCGAAAUGCGAUAAGUAAUGUGAAUUGCAGAAUUCAGUGAAUCAUCGAAUCUUUGAACGCACAUUGCGCCCCCUGGUAUUCCGGGGGGCAUGCCUGUCCGAGCGUCAUUACAACCCUCAAGCUCAGCUUGGUGUUGGGCCCCGCCGCCCCGGCGGGCCCUAAAGUCAGUGGCGGUGCCGUCCGGCUCCGAGCGUAGUAAUUCUUCUCGCUCUGGAGGUGCGGUCGUGUGCUCGCCAGCAACCCCCAAUUUUUUUCAGGUUGACCUCGGAUCAGGUAGGGAUACCCGCUGAACUUAAGCAUAUCAAUAAGCGGAGGA